Molecule: ribosomal RNA, 305 nt
Filed under: uncultured bacterium
Lineage: Bacteria
Description: bacterial SSU rRNA
Rfam family: Bacterial small subunit ribosomal RNA
Source: RNAcentral
AUGACCUACGGGAGGCAGCAGUCGGGAAUAUUGCGCAAUGGAGGAAACUCUGACGCAGUGACGCCGCGUAUAGGAAGAAGGUUUUCGGAUUGUAAACUAUUGUCGUUAGGGAAGAUAAAAGACUGUACCUAAGGAGGAAGCCCCGGCUAACUAUGUGCCAGCAGCCGCGGUAAUACAUAGGGGGCAAGCGUUAUCCGGAAUUAUUGGGUGUAAAGGGUGCGUAGGUGGCAGGGCAAGUCAGAUGUGACAGCCCGGGGCUCAACCCCGGUACUGCAUUUGAAACUGUCCAGCUGGAGUGCAGGAGG